Molecule: ribosomal RNA, 701 nt
Filed under: Pseudomonas sp.
Lineage: Bacteria; Pseudomonadati; Pseudomonadota; Gammaproteobacteria; Pseudomonadales; Pseudomonadaceae
Description: bacterial SSU rRNA
Rfam family: Bacterial small subunit ribosomal RNA
Source: RNAcentral
CAUGCAAGUCGAGCGGUAGAGAGAAGCUUGCUUCUCUUGAGAGCGGCGGACGGGUGAGUAAUGCCUAGGAAUCUGCCUGGUAGUGGGGGAUAACGCUCGGAAACGGACGCUAAUACCGCAUACGUCCUACGGGAGAAAGCAGGGGACCUUCGGGCCUUGCGCUAUCAGAUGAGCCUAGGUCGGAUUAGCUAGUUGGUGGGGUAAUGGCUCACCAAGGCGACGAUCCGUAACUGGUCUGAGAGGAUGAUCAGUCACACUGGAACUGAGACACGGUCCAGACUCCUACGGGAGGCAGCAGUGGGGAAUAUUGGACAAUGGGCGAAAGCCUGAUCCAGCCAUGCCGCGUGUGUGAAGAAGGUCUUCGGAUUGUAAAGCACUUUAAGUUGGGAGGAAGGGCAGUAACCUAAUACGUUGCUGUCUUGACGUUACCGACAGAAUAAGCACCGGCUAACUCUGUGCCAGCAGCCGCGGUAAUACAGAGGGUGCAAGCGUUAAUCGGAAUUACUGGGCGUAAAGCGCGCGUAGGUGGUUUGUUAAGUUGGAUGUGAAAUCCCCGGGCUCAACCUGGGAACUGCAUUCAAAACUGACAAGCUAGAGUAUGGUAGAGGGUGGUGGAAUUUCCUGUGUAGCGGUGAAAUGCGUAGAUAUAGGAAGGAACACCAGUGGCGAAGGCGACCACCUGGACUGAUACUGACACUGAG